GAUGAACGCUGGCGGCGUGCCUAAUACAUGCAAGUCGAGCGAACAGACGAGGAGCUUGCUCCUCUGACGUUAGCGGCGGACGGGUGAGUAACACGUGGAUAACCUACCUAUAAGACUGGGAUAACUUCGGGAAACCGGAGCUAAUACCGGAUAACAUGUUGAACCGCAUGGUUCAACAGUGAAAGACGGUUUUGCUGUCACUUAUAGAUGGAUCCGCGCCGCAUUAGCUAGUUGGUAAGGUAACGGCUUACCAAGGCAACGAUGCGUAGCCGACCUGAGAGGGUGAUCGGCCACACUGGAACUGAGACACGGCCCAGACUCCUACGGGAGGCAGCAGUAGGGAAUCUUCCGCAAUGGGCGAAAGCCUGACGGAGCAACGCCGCGUGAGUGAAGAAGGUCUUCGGAUCGUAAAACUCUGUUAUUAGGGAAGAACAAAUGUGUAAGUAACUAUGCACGUCUUGACGGUACCUAAGCAGAAAGCCACGGCUAACUACGU
This 496-nucleotide ribosomal RNA is filed under the name uncultured bacterium. Its description in RNAcentral is "partial 16S ribosomal RNA". It matches the Rfam family "Bacterial small subunit ribosomal RNA", at positions 28 to 506 of the family's 1533-position model. The record is from RNAcentral.